GAACUCUUAGUACCCAACUCUUACUUGUACUGUUUCUUCUACUUGUUUUAUCAAAAGGGUUUGUUGUGGGAGAUCUAGUUCGAAAGCCAUUGGGUAGUAGCAGAAGGAGAAACUCCAAUCGGGUACCCGAAUGUGGCAAUUUCGGGUCAAAAUCUGAUUGCUCGCAGAACCAAAAUUGUCGAUGGUGCAGAAGUGUUGUUCUUGAUGACGCUUGUUUCUUCAAAUCUGAAGCUGCUAGAUUACCCUCUCAGAUCUUCACUUGUAAUCUUCUUAGAUUGAGAUAAAAGUUACCUUUUUUUCCAAUUAUGUUGUUUUUUAUCCCUUGAAUUUUGAGUUUUUGGGUGAAGUUCAUUUGAGCUGUGUUAUGAGUGAG
RNAcentral lists this unclassified non-coding RNA (373 nucleotides) under Hevea brasiliensis (rubber tree). The record is from RNAcentral. Lineage: Eukaryota; Viridiplantae; Streptophyta; Magnoliopsida; Malpighiales; Euphorbiaceae.